RNAcentral lists this ribosomal RNA (393 nucleotides) under Triticum aestivum (bread wheat). RNAcentral's name for it is "partial small subunit ribosomal RNA". The record is from RNAcentral. Lineage: Eukaryota; Viridiplantae; Streptophyta; Magnoliopsida; Poales; Poaceae.
AUGUUCGUCCAGAAGAUGCCGACGUCCGCGGGGUGCGGCUCCAAGAGGAAGGCGGAGGAGGACGGCGACGAGGUCACCGUCAAGGCCAUGGCGGUGGAGGAGGAGGAGGCGCCGGUCACCCUCAAAGCCAAGGCGAUGGAGGAUGAGGAGGCAGCUUUCACCACCGUUAAGGCCAUGGCGGAGGAGGAGGCGCCGGUCACCUUCAAGGCCAAGGAGGCGGUGCAGGUCAAGUUGGUGCUGACGAAGCCGACGUGGGUGGAUGUGGAGUACUCGGACUGCGACUCGGACGAAGAGGUCGACUCGGACGACGACGACGCCGAGACGUUCCUGGCCAGGAUCAGGUCUGAGUACAAUGCCCACGCCGAGAAGUUCAAGGCUGACAAUCCCUGUUGA